This 253-nucleotide ribosomal RNA is filed under the name uncultured bacterium. RNAcentral's name for it is "partial 16S ribosomal RNA". It matches the Rfam family "Bacterial small subunit ribosomal RNA", at positions 524 to 776 of the family's 1533-position model. The record is from RNAcentral.
GACAGAGGGUGCAAACGUUGUUCGGAAUUACUGGGCGUAAAGCGAGUGUAGGCGGUCCGAUAAGUCGGGUGUGAAAGCCCUGGGCUCAACCCAGGAAGUGCACUCGAAACUGCCGGGCUAGAGUAUCGGAGAGGUUGGUGGAAUUCUCGGUGUAGAGGUGAAAUUCGUAGAUAUCGAGAGGAACACCGGUGGCGAAGGCGGCCAACUGGACGAAUACUGACGCUGAGACUCGAAAGCGUGGGGAGCAAACAAG